AGCCUGCAACUGAGGAAAGUCAACAGAUGAUAGCACAUUUUGAUGGCCUAAACCUCCAAACUUUCUACAAUAACUCAUUUCUCUCACCAAAAGCACUGUUGGAAGGAGAUGCAAGCUUGCUAAUGAAGAAUGUGUCUAACUCUGACACAGGAGAUUACUUCUGUGAUGUCCUGGUGACACCAGUAAAGAAAGAAAUCCAACUCAACUUAAAUGUAGCAGAAAAGGAACAUAAGAAAAAUAAAGAAACAAGAAAGCCAUUUCGAAAAUACCCAUAUGGCAUUAUUGGUACAGUGGCUGGUUUAGGUGUAGCUGGAGCCUUAAUUUACACAGCAGGGUUAAAGAAACGAUUUCUAAAGAUAAACAAGACAUUUCCUAAAAGGCCUAUUUCAAGUUGUAUGACUAAAUCAUGUCAAAUCACAUAACAUCUGACUGGAAUCUUUGGCUGGCAAACGAUGUCAUCCUCCACUUCCAACUAUGACUGCCCAGAUUGAGACAGAUGGCUUCUUUUUAAGCAUUUCAUCUGAAAGCACUUCCCAGCCAAACAUGGUCACCUCCGCAUGACAGGGAAGUCUUCCCCUGGCUGCUCCAUCGGGCAGCACCAAAGGACCCAAACAGUGCUUCCCAUUGGAACUACAACUCCCAUGCAGCCCUGUUCCACCAGUAGGGUGCUGCCACCCAGUGUACCAAGGGAAAACACAUCUUCCACUGUCCAUUCAGUACAUUAGCCACCUGGCCAGGUAUAGAAGCACCAACUUUCUGGGUGGGGUGCCAGCCCAUUUAUGCCUCCCUUUAUAAGACCCUAAAAGUGUCCUUAAUCUGGUGAUGUAAAACUGGAGCAUACUGGUAAUAGAACCAUCACACAAAACUGUCACAGCAGUCUCUUCAAGGGACUUAUCACUUUAAAUCUUUGAUUGGGCAAAGAACACUUGCCUAUAAUUUUCCUAAAAAAUGACAUCCUGUAGAGAACCUCAUUUCAAAGCACUUUAUAUAUUGAAAAAUUUUGAUUCAAGACAGAUAUAGUGGCUUACCUUUGGGUGAUGCACAUAGGUAGCAGUGGGACUUAACUUGCAACCUUGUGGUUUAAAGUCCACUUUCACAGCAAGUAUACACAAGUGGAAUAAGCUCAUUUGUCUGAUUGAAAAAUAUUGUGGGAUAUUCUUGAUUUAUACGUUAGCUCCUUGUCACUUAAGGUUCUACUGCACUUCUACUGCCAACAGUAAAGGAUAGUGAGUACAGUGCUUUAAUAGAAUAAUUUUCACUUUUAUACAUCCACACUAGAAAGGAUAUUUAUGCAUUAAAAACCACCAUUCCUUUUUUAUGUUGUGUGUGUUACACCUUCUUUGUUAGAUGAUCAUUAUACCCAAACUAAACCAAUAACUUGGCAAAGUAGCUCAUAAUCUGAAAUUAAAUAUUAAGGAUGUGUGCAUACAGCUUUUGUACACAUACAUGAAAAAUGGUAGCCAUUCUUGAGGAUGGAAACUACCCAAUAUAUAAGAAAUCAUUGAAACCAUAUCCAUACAUAAAGAAUCAGUAAAUAAAUCAGAUGUAAGCCAAAACUACGCUUUGCAACCCAGUAACUUUUAACAGUAUCUACUAUGGGAAUGAUAAUAUGAAUAAUACAUAAAUAAUGCCUUAAUACAUAAAUUAUUUUUUUUAAUAAUUCCAUUCAUUUGGAAACAGUAAAUAAAGACAGAAUCCAACUCAAACAAAUGACAUAGCAAGAAUGUUACAACUGAAAAGCAAAGCUCAGCAUUUUGCCUGAACCAACAAAUGCUGAAACAGCAAGUUGAAUAAAGAAAGUUAGCACAGGCCUGGCAUGUUUAUCAACGAAGUCUUGCAAAGUUUUGAAAAAAAUCUGAACUUAUCUUUGUAAAAAAAAAAUAAUUCAAAUUUGAGAUUAGAGUGCUUUCUCACUGAGUUACAGAUGGUGGACUGGGUUAUGACUGACUUUUCAUAAGACAUUUAACUCAUCUGGUAGUACUCCAUGUAGGCACUGAGAUGGAUAUACAACACAAUGUUUAAAACUUCAUAGACUAUAAUAAAAUUUUUAUUUGAUAUACUUAUACUGUUAAUCUCCAAGGGAAAAUAGUCUUUUCACAUGACCAUUGUGGGGACAAAGCGCAUGGUGGAACUAAAGGGCAUCCCCUAACUGCACCAUCAAAGCCUUCAUCACAUACCUCAUUUUUUAACUUAUGAUUUAUUUAUGUAGCACUUUUUGUUAUUAUAUUCUUCUUUGAUUUGUAUAGCUUUCAGGGGCUUCAUUAUUUGCAAUUCAGAGGAUUCUGGUCCUUUAAAAAAUGAAGUGGUAGUGUUGGACAUUAAAAACUCCCAAAAACAUGAUUUCAGAAGACAACUUGUAAAUGAAUAACAUAAGCAUUACAAGAGGGACUAAUAUAUGAAGUGUAGACCUCUCUUCAUCCAAUGAUUCUUCUGAAAGUACUCUCUCAGUCGAUUGUGAAAUGAAUCCUGAUAAUAUUUUAAGCAAUUUUAAUGUUUUAACACUAAAUUGUUUCUAUUAACAAUGAAACCAGUAAAAGUUAUAAAGCAGUGUGCAGUUUUUUCAUUAAGUAA
Molecule: long non-coding RNA, 2571 nt
Organism: Polypterus senegalus (gray bichir)
Lineage: Eukaryota; Metazoa; Chordata; Cladistia; Polypteriformes; Polypteridae
Exons: 4
Source: RefSeq, a predicted model, not a curated record